This 253-nucleotide ribosomal RNA is filed under the name uncultured bacterium. Its description in RNAcentral is "partial 16S ribosomal RNA". It matches the Rfam family "Bacterial small subunit ribosomal RNA", at positions 524 to 776 of the family's 1533-position model. The record is from RNAcentral.
UACGUAGGUGACCAGCGUUGUCCGGAUUUACUGGGCGUAAAGAGCGCGCAGGCGGUCGUUCAAGUCGAGUGUGAAAGCCCCCGGCUCAACUGGGGAGGGUCACUCGAUACUGAUCGACUUGAAGGCAGGAGAGGGAAGCGGAAUUCCCGGUGUAGUGGUGAAAUGCGUAGAUAUCGGGAGGAACACCAGUAGCGAAGGCGGCACUCUGGGCCGGUACUGACGCUGAGGAGCGAAAGCGUGGGGAGCGAACAGG